CCUACGGGUUGCAGCAGUGGGGAAUUUUGGACAAUGGGCGCAAGCCUGAUCCAGCCAUGCCGCGUGCAGGAUGAAGGCCUUCGGGUUGUAAACUGCUUUUGUACGGAACGAAAAGACUCCUUCUAAUAAAGGGGGUCCAUGACGGUACCGUAAGAAUAAGCACCGGCUAACUACGUGCCAGCAGCCGCGGUAAUACGUAGGGUGCGAGCGUUAAUCGGAAUUACUGGGCGUAAAGCGUGCGCAGGCGGUGAUGUAAGACAGAUGUGGAAUCCCCGGGCUCAACCUGGGAACUGCAUUGUGACUGCAUCGCUGGAGUGCGGCAGAGGGGGAUGGAAUUCCGCGUGUAGCAGUGAAAUGCGUAGAUAUGCGGAGGAACACCGAUGGCGAAGGCAAUCCCCUGGACCUGCACUGACGCUCAUGCACGAAAGCGUGGGGAGCAAACAGGAUUAGAUACCCGUGUAGUC
This 464-nucleotide ribosomal RNA is filed under the name uncultured bacterium. RNAcentral's name for it is "bacterial SSU rRNA". It matches the Rfam family "Bacterial small subunit ribosomal RNA", at positions 338 to 795 of the family's 1533-position model. The record is from RNAcentral.